Molecule: long non-coding RNA, 317 nt
Organism: Lytechinus variegatus (green sea urchin)
Lineage: Eukaryota; Metazoa; Echinodermata; Echinoidea; Temnopleuroida; Toxopneustidae
Exons: 3
Source: RefSeq, a predicted model, not a curated record
UGACCCAGCAUACCGAACACCAUCACAGGUUAUACCAAAAGUAUCUGGUACUUUCCAGAAACAGACACCUGCAACGUCCUCGGUAUUUGUUUCCAUGCCUUCCGUAGUGGCUAGGCAGUCGAUGAAGAUCACUCCUGCUGGGUCACCAACCGGUCAGAAACAAUAUCCGAAGGAUGACGGUGCGGCAGUUGAGAUCUCCACGGCUUCUGUUCCCAAGGGAGGGUUCUCUAUAUUCUCCGUCCAGAAACAACCGGACACCGGAACCUCUCCUGUAUCUGAGUACAUCAAGACAGAAGACAAAGAGACAUUGGCUUGUG